RNAcentral lists this transfer RNA (84 nucleotides) under Gemmatimonadota bacterium. RNAcentral's name for it is "tRNA-Leu". It matches the Rfam family "tRNA". Rfam says of the family: Transfer RNA (tRNA) molecules are approximately 80 nucleotides in length. Their secondary structure includes four short double-helical elements and three loops (D, anti-codon, and T loops). Further hydrogen bonds mediate the characteristic L-shaped molecular structure. tRNAs have two regions of fundamental functional importance: the anti-codon, which is responsible for specific mRNA codon recognition, and the 3' end, to which the tRNAs corresponding amino acid is attached (by aminoacyl-tRNA synthetases). tRNAs cope with the degeneracy of the genetic code in two manners: having more than one tRNA (with a specific anti-codon) for a particular amino acid; and 'wobble' base-pairing, i.e. permitting non-standard base-pairing at the 3rd anti-codon position. The record is from RNAcentral. Lineage: Bacteria; Pseudomonadati; Gemmatimonadota.
ACCCGGAUGGCGAAAUCGGUAGACGCGAGGGACUUAAAAUCCCUGGAUCGCAAGGUCGUGUGGGUUCGAGUCCCACUCCGGGUA